Molecule: ribosomal RNA, 325 nt
Filed under: Salmonella enterica subsp. enterica serovar Senftenberg
Lineage: Bacteria; Pseudomonadati; Pseudomonadota; Gammaproteobacteria; Enterobacterales; Enterobacteriaceae
Description: partial 23S ribosomal RNA
Rfam family: Bacterial large subunit ribosomal RNA
Source: RNAcentral
AAGGCUAAAUACUCCUGACUGACCGAUAGUGAACCAGUACCGUGAGGGAAAGGCGAAAAGAACCCCGGCGAGGGGAGUGAAAAAGAACCUGAAACCGUGUACGUACAAGCAGUGGGAGCCCCACCACCAAAGCAUUUUCUGGUGUUGAAGGCCCUGCAAAGCAGCAUCGCGGUGGCGGAGCGUCGUUUGCGACGCCCAACACACAAAACAAGCGGUGAGUGCUUUGGGGUGGGGUGACUGCGUACCUUUUGUAUAAUGGGUCAGCGACUUAUAUUCUGUAGCAAGGUUAACCGAAUAGGGGAGCCGGAGGGAAACCGAGUCUUAA